RNAcentral lists this ribosomal RNA (515 nucleotides) under uncultured Glomus. Its description in RNAcentral is "SSU rRNA". It matches the Rfam family "Eukaryotic small subunit ribosomal RNA", at positions 569 to 1089 of the family's 1831-position model. The record is from RNAcentral. Lineage: Eukaryota; Fungi; Glomeromycota; Glomeromycetes; Glomerales; Glomeraceae.
AGCAGCCGCGGUAAUUCCAGCUCCAAUAGCGUAUAUUAAAGUUGUUGCAGUUAAAAGCUCGUAGUUGAAUUUCGGGAUCAAUACGUCGGUCGUGCUUCGGUACGUACUGGCGUCAUUGAUUUCUCCCUUCUGACGAACCAUGAUGUCAUUAACUUGGUGUCAUGGGAAAUCAGGACUGUUACUUUGAAAAAAUUAGAGUGUUUAAAGCAGGCUCACGCUUGAAUACAUUAGCAUGGAAUAAUGAAGUAGGACGUUCGAUCCUAUUUUGUUGGUUUUAGGAUCAACGUAAUGAUUAAUAGGGAUAGUUGGGGGCAUUAGUAUUCAAUUGUCAGAGGUGAAAUUCUUGGAUUUAUUGAAGACUAACUACUGCGAAAGCAUUUGCCAAGGAUGUUUUCAUUAAUCAAGAACGAAAGUUAGGGGAUCGAAGACGAUCAGAUACCGUCGUAGUCUUAACCAUAAACUAUGCCGACUAGGGAUCGGAUGAUGUUAAUUUUUAAUGACUCAUUCGGCGUCCG